UGGGGAAUAUUGCACAAUGGGCGCAAGCCUGAUGCAGCCAUGCCGCGUGUGUGAAGAAGGCCUUCGGGUUGUAAAGCACUUUCAGCGAGGAGGAAGGUGGUGAGCUUAAUACGCUCAUCAAUUGACGUUACUCGCAGAAGAAGCACCGGCUAACUCCGUGCCAGCAGCCGCGGUAAUACGGAGGGUGCAAGCGUUAAUCGGAAUUACUGGGCGUAAAGCGCACGCAGGCGGUUUGUUAAGUCAGAUGUGAAAAUCCCCGGGCUCAACCUGGGAACUGCAUUUGAAACUGGCAAGCUAGAGUCUCGUAGAGGGGGGUAGAAUUCCAGGUGUAGCGGUGAAAUGCGUAGAGAUCUGGAGGAAUACCGGUGGCGAAGGCGGCCCCCCUGGACGAAGACUGACGCUCAGGUGCGAAAAGCGUGGGGCAGCAAAACAGGAUUAGAUACCCUGGUAGUCCACGCUGUAAAACGAUGUCGA
RNAcentral lists this ribosomal RNA (474 nucleotides) under uncultured bacterium. Its description in RNAcentral is "partial 16S ribosomal RNA". It matches the Rfam family "Bacterial small subunit ribosomal RNA", at positions 355 to 815 of the family's 1533-position model. The record is from RNAcentral.